CACGUAGGGGGCAAGCGUUGUCCGGAUUUAUUGGGCGUAAAGAGCUCGUAGGCUGUUCGAUAAGUCGGGUGUGAAACCUCCAGGCUCAACCUGGAGACGCCACCCGAUACUGUCAUGACUAGAGUCCGGUAGGGGAGACUGGAAUUCCUGGUGUAGCGGUGAAAUGCGCAGAUAUCAGGAGGAACACCGGUGGCGAAGGCGGGUCUCUGGGCCGAUACUGACGCUGAGGAGCGAAAGCGUGGGGAGCGAACAGG
Molecule: ribosomal RNA, 254 nt
Filed under: uncultured bacterium
Lineage: Bacteria
Description: partial 16S ribosomal RNA
Rfam family: Bacterial small subunit ribosomal RNA
Source: RNAcentral